GACGAACGCUGGCGGCGUGCUUAACACAUGCAAGUCGAGCGGUAAGGCCCUUUCGGGGGUACACGAGCGGCGAACGGGUGAGUAACACGUGGGUGACCUGCCCUCAGCUCUGGGAUAAGCCUGGGAAACCGGGUCUAAUACCGGAUAUGACUCCAUGACGCAUGUUGUGGGGUGGAAAGCCUUGUGCGGCUGAGGAUGGGCCCGCGGCCUAUCAGCUUGUUGGUGGGGUGAUGGCCUACCAAGGCGACGACGGGUAGCCGGCCUGAGAGGGCGACCGGCACACUGGGACUGAGACACGGCCCAGACUCCUACGGGAGGCAGCAGUGGGGAAUAUUGCACAAU
This 342-nucleotide ribosomal RNA is filed under the name uncultured bacterium. RNAcentral's name for it is "bacterial SSU rRNA". It matches the Rfam family "Bacterial small subunit ribosomal RNA", at positions 28 to 372 of the family's 1533-position model. The record is from RNAcentral.